This 265-nucleotide ribosomal RNA is filed under the name uncultured bacterium. Its description in RNAcentral is "partial 16S ribosomal RNA". It matches the Rfam family "Bacterial small subunit ribosomal RNA", at positions 15 to 275 of the family's 1533-position model. The record is from RNAcentral.
GAUCAUGGCUCAGGAUGAACGCUAGCGACAGGCUUAACACAUGCAAGUCGAGGGGCAGCGGGGAGUAGCAAUACUUCGCCGGCGACCGGCGCACGGGUGAGUAACACGUGUGCAACCAACCCCGUACCGGGAGAUAACCCGCGGAAACGUGGACUAACAUCCCAUAAGACUCUAGAGCCGCAUGGCUUUGGAUUUAAAAUUCCGGUGGUACGGGACGGGCACGCGCGACAUUAGGUAGUUGGCGGGGUAACGGCCCACCAAGCCG